Molecule: long non-coding RNA, 759 nt
Organism: Pogoniulus pusillus (Red-fronted tinkerbird)
Lineage: Eukaryota; Metazoa; Chordata; Aves; Piciformes; Lybiidae
Exons: 4
Source: RefSeq, a predicted model, not a curated record
CAUUCCUGUGUGAUCUGUUAUAGGUGAUCCUGCUCUGCAAGGAGGUUGGACUCGAGCUUUCAAGAUCCGUUCCAGCCCCUGACCUUCUUCUGUGAUUCUAUAUCAGUAACUAGGUUGAUGGAUUCAUGUCCAGGCUGAUUCCAGGCAAGGGUUAACAAAGGUAUCAGAUUACAGAAAGGGAAAACAGCAGCUUGAGAGAGUCCAGCACAGAGCUACAGUGAUGAUGAAAGGAAUGGAAGGAACACCUCUCUUAUGAGGAGAAACUGAGGGAGUUGGGACUCUUUAACUUGGAGAGGAGGAGCCUGAGGCAUGACCUCAUGAAUGUUGGUAAAGGUGUAAAGGGCUUAAACCUGGUCUGGAGGAUUCUCAUCUCAAAAUUGUCCCAGUGACACAUGCUGUCAAAUAUUGUGAAACUGAUCAAAUUGUCAACUGGAUACAUUAAAAUAGUUGUAGGUGUUCAGCAUUUCAGACAAGCUGAAUGCAGGUCUCUUAGAAGUUGGAGCAGCCAAAUUAUGUGACAGGUACCAUUCUUCACAGAGGCCAUGAACAAUUGCAGAGCUGCCAGCGUCUGACUGAAAUAAUGGCUGUACACAGAGGAUCAUUUGUAAGACAGCAGGCUGAGAAAGGUCCCAUUUAUCUGCCAGGCAAGGUUUCAUAACUCUUGGCAUCCGUUCACGAGGAAAGCAUCAUUGAAUGUUAGCUCUUGCUAAUUACCUCAACCUAGGAGAUGUUAGAUUAAAAUCCUUUUUUUUCCUGAAA